UCCCUUGUAGCUCAGUUGGUAAAGAAUCUGCCUGCAAUGCAGGAAACCCAAGUUCGAUUCCUGGGUUGGGAA
This 72-nucleotide transfer RNA is filed under the name Bos taurus (domestic cattle). It matches the Rfam family "tRNA". Rfam says of the family: Transfer RNA (tRNA) molecules are approximately 80 nucleotides in length. Their secondary structure includes four short double-helical elements and three loops (D, anti-codon, and T loops). Further hydrogen bonds mediate the characteristic L-shaped molecular structure. tRNAs have two regions of fundamental functional importance: the anti-codon, which is responsible for specific mRNA codon recognition, and the 3' end, to which the tRNAs corresponding amino acid is attached (by aminoacyl-tRNA synthetases). tRNAs cope with the degeneracy of the genetic code in two manners: having more than one tRNA (with a specific anti-codon) for a particular amino acid; and 'wobble' base-pairing, i.e. permitting non-standard base-pairing at the 3rd anti-codon position. Lineage: Eukaryota; Metazoa; Chordata; Mammalia; Artiodactyla; Bovidae. The record is from Rfam by way of RNAcentral. RNAcentral also lists the same sequence under 3 other names.